CCUACGGGUGGCAGCAGUGGGGAAUAUUGCACAAUGGGGGGAACCCUGAUGCAGCGACGCCGCGUGAGUGAAGACGUAUUUCGGUAUGUAAAGCUCUAUCAGCAGGGAAGAAAAUGACGGUACCUGACUAAGAAGCCACGGCUAACUACGUGCCAGCAGCCGCGGUAAUACGUAGGGGGCCAGCGUUAUCCGGAUUUACUGGGUGUAAAGGGAGCGCAGACGGCUUUGCAAGUCUGGAGUGAAAGGCGGGGGGCCAACCCCCGGACUGCUCUGGAAACUGUAAAGCUGGAGUGCAGGAGAGGUAAGCGGAAUUCCUGGUGUAGCGGUGAAAUGCGUAGAUAUUAGGAAGAACGCCAGUGGCGAAGGCGGCUUACUGGACUGCAACUGACGUUGAGGCUCGAAAGCGUGGGGAGCAAACAGGAUUAGAUACCCUUGUAGUC
RNAcentral lists this ribosomal RNA (440 nucleotides) under uncultured bacterium. RNAcentral's name for it is "partial 16S ribosomal RNA". It matches the Rfam family "Bacterial small subunit ribosomal RNA", at positions 338 to 795 of the family's 1533-position model. The record is from RNAcentral.